Molecule: ribosomal RNA, 555 nt
Filed under: uncultured bacterium
Lineage: Bacteria
Description: partial 16S ribosomal RNA
Rfam family: Bacterial small subunit ribosomal RNA
Source: RNAcentral
UGGGGAAUAUUGCACAAUGGGCGCAAGCCUGAUGCAGCCAUGCCGCGUGUGUGAAGAAGGCCUUCGGGUUGUAAAGCACUUUCAGCGAGGAGGAAGGUGGUGAGCUUAAUACGCUCAUCAAUUGACGUUACUCGCAGAAGAAGCACCGGCUAACUCCGUGCCAGCAGCCGCGGUAAUACGGAGGGUGCAAGCGUUAAUCGGAAUUACUGGGCGUAAAGCGCACGCAGGCGGUUUGUUAAGUCAGAUGUGAAAUCCCCGGGCUCAACCUGGGAACUGCAUUUGAAACUGGCAAGCUAGAGUCUCGUAGAGGGGGGUAGAAUUCCAGGUGUAGCGGUGAAAUGCGUAGAGAUCUGGAGGAAUACCGGUGGCGAAGGCGGCCCCCUGGACGAAGACUGACGCUCAGGUGCGAAAGCGUGGGGAGCAAACAGGGUUAGAUACCCUGGUAGUCCAGCGCUGUAAACGAUGUCGAUUUUGGAGGUUGUGCCCUUGAGGCGUGGCUUCCGGAGCUAACGCGUUAAAUCGACCGCCUGGGGAGUACGGCCGCAAGGUUAAAAC